Long non-coding RNA from Lolium perenne, 3618 nucleotides. RefSeq lists it as uncharacterized. NCBI's taxonomy places the organism in Eukaryota, Viridiplantae, Streptophyta, Magnoliopsida, Poales, Poaceae. The record is from RefSeq and is a predicted model, not a curated record.
GUUUCAGAUUUCUCGCGAUUAUUAUUUUCAUGCAGAUUCUGCUCUGAAAUAAUUAUGUGCAAUAAUUUCAAGGUACAACCGGAAAGAAUAUCAGAUUAAGCAACGGUCCUCUGCCUACCAUAUUGCUCGAUUACAUGAUAUUGUCAAUCACCAAAUGGAUUUCAUCUUCCAAAGGCAAUCCAUUCAGGACAUAACUAUUGGGCAAAGCCAAGAUCCUAAAGAGGUCAAGAGGCAGAGAGAUAGGGAGUGGUAUGCAAAAAACUAAAAGAUGAGAUUUCAGAGCGCAAAUUUUUGAAAAUGGCCUGCUGCCACGGAGGCUUGUGGGGAGGUCAGUUUACACCAUUCACUUUUCAAACUUCGUAUUAAGGUCUACAAUAAGAUGUACUUCCAUUUGACUGUACCAAGUACUCAAAAAGCGUUCGAGUAUUUGACACUCCUUAACCUGCACAGCUGCACUUCACCUUCUCCUGAGGUACCAGUAGACAUAUUGUACACACUCAGAGCUCAGGUUGGAGCCUUCUGAUCUAACAUUGAAUAUCAUGUUUAUGCUGCACCAUUUAGGGGUUUGAUGGAAAUUGUAGUAGGACUUACUUCUUGAUAGUGUUAUCGCUGGUAGGACUUAUAAUUUGACAUUAACAUGAAACUUGCACUGAGAUGUUGGAGCACCUUGCGGCUAGGUGCUGCUGCUCUGGAUAUUUUCAUAGGCAGGAGUGUACACAUACUAUUUCUUAUAUAGUUAGUUGAUAGCAAAAUGUAUUGUCUUAUGCAGUAACAUUGUUGUGUACCGUGCUAUGAUAAAACUCAGCGUACCAACGAAUAUAAAUAUGACAUUUUACUUGAUUGGAAAUUUAACACCACAUUUUUAUAUUAUUUUUCUUUAUCUUCUAAUAUUCUUAUUAUACCAUAGGCCUGAUAGUAACUUGUAUGUAUAAUUCUCUUCAUUUUGCAGAAUACCUUUGGGAAACUCUAUAUGAUUGGUUUUAUUUUAAUUUUUCAAUCUUGAUUAUGAUCUCAAAACAUCGCAGAGAAAUUUGAUGUUUCAGAGUGGCCUGGUCACCAUGCAAACUCUGAGGUAAACUCUGUAACCUGUUUUUUGUUUUGCUUGCAUGAAGCUUCCAUGCCCCCGAUGGAAAUAUGGAUCUUGAGAUAGCUUCUUGCAUGGACAUUAGCCUAUUAGGUAAUGCCGUGUGCUUUUAUACAUGUUGCAGCAGCAGAAUUGAUUUUUUUUUCAUAGUUGAUGCAAGUUGGCCAAAUUGGUUUGGACAUAUUAUGAUCAUAUGUGGUUCUGCACUAAUGUAGCAUUUGGUCAUUGAAAAUUUAAAUGUUUUUCUUGAAAGCUAGCCAGUUCCUGCAGCUAAUCUGUUUCUAAUAUAUGCAGUUGGUUGGCAUCAUAUUUUUGUACUGUACAAAACUUUGUCUAACACCUAAUCCUCUACUCUGUGUUACUGUACACAUGUCAGUGAUUUGAAUAAACACAAGGAUGCAACUCAGUAGUGAUCAAAAGUUGGCUUAAGAAAGAUGAUGAAAAUACUGAAAAAGACUGCUAGGAUGUAGGAUAGUUGUUUGGGAGCAAGAACCGGAUGAGUGGACAGAUACAUUUUCAGUUUCUAUAUAUUACCAUUUUGUCAUAACUAAGUAGUGGCCAAAUUAUUUCCUAAUUAGUUUUCAUGUUGAGCAUUUUACUAUCUCUAUCACCCUGUUCCGAGACUUGAUAUUGGUUACAUGUGUUCAAUCACCCCUUGCCAAAGAUGUUAAAUGUACAGCUCAAAAAAAAAAGAUGUUAAAUGUAGAAGCAGGGUUUGUAGCAAAUAUUCUUGUGCUUCCAGAUUUGGUGGUUUUAUUUUUAAUCUCUGUUUUGUUUUGUUUAUUUCGAAUCUUAUGUUACAUGAAUUGUUUUGUCGGUGAGAUCUUUUAGACGACAUUAUUAGUUUGAUGAACUAUUUAUAUUUACUUAAAAAAAUGUUUGACACAAUCUUAUGUUACAUGAAUUGUUUUGUCGGUGAGAUCUUUUAGCCGACAUUAAUAGUUUGAUGAACUAUUUAUAUUGACUUUUCACCGAUUCUAGCGGCGCUUAAGAUCUGUGGACUAAUGAUGAUACUUGAUUAUGCACCAGCUUCGAGUAAUCAAAAUCCCUAUACUAAUGCUGUAAUGCAAAUCCUUUCGCCAUCUAAUGCCAUUUAUCCACUUUCAGUUCUUUGGUAGCCCACGAUGGAUACUAACAGGUUUUAAAAGUGGAACUCAGCAUUUGCAAAUGUGGAUUAACAUGCCCUAGAGAUGCAAAUGGCUGAUGCUUUUGACCGCACUAAUGCCAGCAUCAAUCCCAUUGAAGAACCUCCAACGAAGAAGCUAAAAUCUGAUGGUGGAUCUAACCGCGCUCCAAGAUGAAGCAUGUGUUUGGCUGUAUGACAGAGGGAAGACAAUGAGAGUGUUCAGAGGUCUUCACCUUUACUUCCUUGCUCAAGGAUGAUCUAGGUAGAUUAGACAUCCAGGUCUGAAAUUAAUAAUAAGUAGUGGCAUGCACCCUUGCUCCUCACUAAUGAAAUUUUAAAUUUCAUAAGGGACUGCUGUGUAUAAAUAAAUGUUAAAUUUGUGUUGUCAUCUUUUUAGUGCGUAGAUUGCAAGUUUGUGCAGUACACCAGAGUAAGUAUAAUUUUUUUCCCCACUUAAGCAUAAAAAUGAAGUAAAUCAAUGUGUUCGAGUAUCUCGGACAGAUUUUGUAUUUUCAUAUUGUCAGUUUAUUUGGAUUUUGAGCAUGAGGUACAAACUGAAUCUCUCAUAAGUAUAUGAUUUUUUACGUUACUAUAUUAUUAGACCUCUUCAUUGAUUUGUUUAUUUUUUUCAGAAUUUAAUUUGUUUUAUAUUUACCUACUGCUUAGAAUGAGUGAAGAGAUUUCUAAGAUUACACGUGCAUUCAGAUAUUUUUUAGCUUGUUGUAAAUGUGUUUUAUAUUUACCUACUGUUUCUUACUUUCCUGUAGGUGCGAGUCCUGUAUAUUUUUUAGUUAAUGUUUUUCUAUUGUCUACUGUUGAACAUUGUGGAAAUUGCAUCAUUUCAUAAGGAUUGAGAUUUAUAGCAUCUUAGUAUUUUUUUGUAGUGUGCUAUGGUCGAUCGUUUUUGUUAUUUCAUGUGGCUUUGUUCAACUUUAGGUCAUUUACAACAGAGUAGGGCCAGAGUUGUCGAUUCUGGAAUGUUACCAUGAGUACGGUUGAGGAAGCUGACAACACCAUUUGGACGGUCAAUUCUAACCUUGAACUGAUCCUUCUGUUUUCCUUCAGCCAAGGAAACUGGAGAACUUAAAAUAUUGUGUUGUUAUAUUCACCACAGGUUAGUCCCUUUUCUCCUUUCUAAAAUUGCAAUUCCAUUUUACUUCUGGAUCUGAACCAUUUGCACAGAUGUUGUAAACCUUUCAUUCUCUAUGCUCCUUUCCAUACCAGUCAGCGGGAAUUGAGCUCUACCUUGCUGCAUAAUACACAAUGUUUAAAAUAGCUGGCUACAGGAUAUAGCCGCGGCCUCCCAAAACAGCUAUAACCCGGCUAUAGCCUGGCUAUAGCCGGCUAUUUAAGGAUUUUGACACCUUUUAGCGGGCUAAUGCAGUUAGCCGCACCAUGCGGGAAAGGC